CCUAUUCUACAACAUUCCCAAACAAACACAAACAAGCAUACAAGCUCGUAGGGGCUUCAAACCAUCAAAAACCCCAACUACAACACAUCAAACAACUCACAUUAUUCAUAAACACAUAUAAAACCCAUAAACCUAACCAUGAGCUAAACAUGCAUUCUACCCCAUAGAUCUACUUAAAACUUACUUAAAACAUGCCAUAAGCUCAAGAUCGGCCCUUACCUCUUGAAGAUCGAGAGGAGAACGACCCUAGCUCAAAAAAUGGGAGAGAGAGAGUUCCUUGAACCUCCAAGCUCCAAAACUUGCUCAAAUGCUCAAAAUCUUCAAAACAAGGGUAAAACUAAUGAAAAUCGAGAAAGAUUUGAAGGAAAGAACUCAAAACCAGCGAGGGAUGGCGGAG
Molecule: long non-coding RNA, 397 nt
Filed under: Manihot esculenta (cassava)
Lineage: Eukaryota; Viridiplantae; Streptophyta; Magnoliopsida; Malpighiales; Euphorbiaceae
Description: long non-coding RNA (MESC_LNC007476)
Source: RNAcentral